RNAcentral lists this long non-coding RNA (2450 nucleotides) under Sus scrofa (pig). RNAcentral's name for it is "lncRNA (ENSSSCG00000058450.1)". Lineage: Eukaryota; Metazoa; Chordata; Mammalia; Artiodactyla; Suidae. The record is from RNAcentral.
UGAGUAGGUUCAUCAUUUAAGUGAUAAUUAGCUUACCUUUUAAUUUACAUCCAUAAACAAGUCUCAAGAAUCUUAGGAAGAUGUUUGAAAUAACAAGAAAUGAGUAGGACAAGUGAGCUAGCAAACUAAAUAAUUCAAGGCAAAGUCUUGUCUGAAUAAUAAUGUUAAUAAUCAAAUUUUAUUGAGUGCAUACCAUGUGCUUAAACCAUGUGCAUUUAAUUUGAUUCUCACAGUGGCCCUAUGAGACAGGCAGUACCUGUAAUUUAAUUUUACAGAUAAGGAUGUUGAGGUCUAAAAAGGUCUAAAAAGGCAAUUUUAUAAGGGUCCUCCAACUAGUAAGUGACAGACGUAAUUUAAAUUGUUUUGGCAGUUUAGUCCAAGUUCAUAAUUAUAUAUAAGGAAUAAAUGAUCAGAAGUGGUGCUAGGUUUUAGAGGGUGGUUUUGGUGAGAAUCAUUGAGAGAACUGCCUUGAUUGUUUUUGUUACGUAUACUUUUUCUUUAGCUCUCUAUCUCCUUUUUCUAAUGUUGAGUAUUUUACAGUAAUCAUUUCAGUGACCUCAGUGAUAUUUCACGGUGUUUUCCUCAACAUCUAGUACAGGUCUGGCUCACAGUAGGAGCUCAAGAAAUUUCUUUUUUCUUUUUCUUUUCUUUUUUUUUAGGGCCGCAUCUGUGGCAUAUGGAGGUUCCCAGGCUAAGGGUUGAAUCAGAGCUACAGCUGCCAGCCUAGCCAUAGCCACAGCAAUGCCAGAUCCAAGCUGCAUCUGCACCCUACACCACAGCUCAUGGCAAAGCCAGAUCCUUAACCCACUGAGCAAGGCCAGGGGUCAAACCUGUGACCUCAUGGCUCCUAGUCAGAUUCUUUUCCACUGCGCUGUGAGAGGAACUCCAAGAAUUAGAAUAAUCUAUAUUAAAAUACAUAUAUAAGUUAAUAAAUGAUAAAUAAACUUAUACUUGAUAUCCUUUUUAAGGAAUAUUUGCCACCAAAGUUCAGGCUGGAAAGUCACUAAAAUAACUGUUUAGAAAAGAAUCACAAUGAUAUUUUUUAGAUUUUUGCUAUAUACAUUGAGUUGUGUACAGAUUAAAAUAUAUGUGUACUGAUUCUCAAAACAAUCAAUGAAAUAGAAAUUAUGAAAGAAAAAAUAUAUUUAUAUGCCAUUUGAAAGGUGGUUCUAUAAAUAGGAAUGUAAAAUUACCUGAGUACAGGAGGGCAAAGUGGAUUUUCUAAUAAUUGGUCUCUCACAAGAGCUUCCUCUGAAAGAAGAACAACUUGUUGAGGUCACCUGGAGUUAAUGUAGGAGGGAAAGUUUUGAGCCCAUUUUCUUCUCGAGGCUUUACUGGAAUUGAAUGUUAUUGUAGGUUAAAUGAGAAGCGUCUUUGGCUGCUGCUUCAUGAAAACUGAAUCCCAGAGGAAUGACCAUUGAGAUUAGUCACUGGGGAGAGAUAGUCUGGUCAAUAGAAAUACGAACAAUGACAUCACAAAUGACUUUGCAGAACGCCAGUGAAAACAGCAGGAAGGAGAUUUGAAGCAAAGCCAUCUAUUUCCACAGCAAGGGAAAACCCACACCCAAAUGAUAGGGAGAGACCAGGAGCCAGAAUUAAAGUGAAUAGUUUCCUGAGUGGUCAGCAGUGAGUAGUUUCAGCAAUAGAUAAGCCAUGGUACUGGGUAGCAUAGGAUUCUGGUAAAUGAAGCACCAAGCAGGAGGUAGCUGACCUCUGAGGCCUUGAACAGCGCCCUCAGUACCUCUCUGAUCCAGUUUCAUGUUUGCAGAGUGGAGGUGGGGAGACACUGUGUCAUCUUUUACGUGACAUGGGGGACAUGAUCUUAGUAUAUUUUUGAAAGCCUUCCAGUUACUGAUUUCAAGCAUAGCAUAACAAAGUAGUUUAUAUCCUUAGUAAUAAUAACAUGAGAUUCUUUUCACUGAGUUCCUACUUUGUGCUAGUUAUUUAAUCCUCCUAGCAGUCCUGCCCUGUUCUACUCUCUACAUUUUAUGUACGUUGAAAAAUACUCAGCCAAGUUAAGUGACCUGCCCAGCAUGACAGAGCUAGAAUGUGAUGAGUUGGAAUUUGAACAGGAGUCAGUUUACCUCCAAAGCUUGUCAUCUCUGUUCAUCAGAGCAGCCUAAUGGCACAAAAAUGUUCACUUUUUUUUGGGGGGGGCUGCACAUUGGCAUAUGGAGGUUCCCAGGCGAGGAGUCCAAUCAGAGCUAUAGCUGCCAGCCUGUGCCACAGCCACAGCAAUGUGGAAUCCAAGUCACGUCUGCAAGCUACACCACAGUUCGCAGCAGUGCCAGAUCCUUAACCCACUGAGCGAGGCCAGGGAUCGAACCUGCGAUCUGCUGGUUCCUAGUCAAAUUCGUUUCUGCUGCGCCAUGACAGGAACUCCCGCCUAACUGUUCUUGAUCUUUCAGCCCUUACACCUGGCCUGAUGAGUAUCUGAAAGAACAUUUUUU